This is a long non-coding RNA of Rhinichthys klamathensis goyatoka, 251 nucleotides long. RefSeq lists it as uncharacterized. The transcript is spliced from 3 exons. The record is from RefSeq and is a predicted model, not a curated record. NCBI's taxonomy places the organism in Eukaryota, Metazoa, Chordata, Actinopteri, Cypriniformes, Leuciscidae.
AUAAUAUUACAGACUCGGUCCACAGGAAUCUGACAGAUGACGCUCCACAACACCAGAUACCAUGGAGAAAUAUGACCAUCUUCAUAUCUGUCCUGCUGAAUGUGCUUCUGAUCAUUGCAUUAAUAGGUUUGGUGAAGAGAUUCAUUGAUGCAACUGGAAAAUCUGCUGCUCAAAACUCAAAUAAUCCACAGUGUGCUGAAGUUGAUUUCUUCAUGAGCUCCAGAAACACCAGGCCUAGUCAGGAGCAGAGC